GACGUAGGGGGCCAGCGUUGUUCGGAAUUACUGGGUGUAAAGGGUUCGUAGGCGGUGUGGCAAGUCGGGAGUGAAAUCUAUGGGCUUAACACAUAGGCUGCUUCCGAAACUGCCGUGCUUGAGUGUGGGAGAGGCGCGUGGAAUUGCAGGUGUAGCGGUGAAAUGCGUAGAUAUCUGCAGGAACACCCGUGGCGAAGGCGGCGCGCUGGACCACUACUGACGCUGAGGAACGAAAGCUAGGGGAG
RNAcentral lists this ribosomal RNA (245 nucleotides) under uncultured bacterium. RNAcentral's name for it is "partial 16S ribosomal RNA". It matches the Rfam family "Bacterial small subunit ribosomal RNA", at positions 524 to 768 of the family's 1533-position model. The record is from RNAcentral.